GUGAGCUGGCGGCGGGGGAGGCGGGCAGCGGAGCCCAGCAGACCCGGCGAGCGGAGCUGCGGCUGGAGAGCGGCGACCACUGCGGAUCUCGGAAAGAAGAAAUGAUGUAAAUCACUCACUAUCCAAACUUUAAGGUCAAAGGUGAGAAGGAAGGUCAGGAAGAACAUGGCCUGGCCACAUGUUUUUCAAAGAGUGUCUCUGCUGUCCCAGUUCAGCCAUCAUCACGUUGUAGUGUUCCUGCUCACUUUCUUCAGUUAUUCGUUGCUCCACGCUUCACGAAAAACAUUUAGCAAUGUCAAAGUCAGUAUCUCUGAGCAGUGGACCCCAAGUGCUUUUAACACGUCAGUUGAGCUGCCUGUGGAGACAGAGUCUCACUCUGUCGCCCAGGCUGGAGUGCAGUGGUGCGAUCUCGGCUCACUGCAAGCUCCGCCUCCCAGGUUCACACCAUUUUCCUGCCUCAGCCUCCCGAGUAGCUGGGACUACAGGCGCCCACCACCACUCCUGGCUAAUUUUUAAAAUAUUUUUAGUAGAGAUGGGGUUUCACCAUGUUAGCCAGGAUGGUCUGGAUCUCCUGAC
Molecule: small RNA, 576 nt
Filed under: Pongo abelii (Sumatran orangutan)
Lineage: Eukaryota; Metazoa; Chordata; Mammalia; Primates; Hominidae
Description: processed transcript
Source: RNAcentral